Molecule: non-coding RNA, 78 nt
Organism: Potamilus streckersoni
Lineage: Eukaryota; Metazoa; Mollusca; Bivalvia; Unionida; Unionidae
Source: the annotation of a GenBank genome assembly
GCUCCGGUGGCUUAUUGGUUAGAGCUUCCGUUUUGGAUGGGGAAGGUCGCUGGUUUGAACCUCGGCUGAGUCGUACCA